The sequence is a ribosomal RNA, 2902 nucleotides long. It matches the Rfam family "Bacterial large subunit ribosomal RNA".
UUAAGCGACUAAGCGUACACGGUGGAUGCCCUGGCAGUCAGAGGCGAUGAAGGACGUGCUAAUCUGCGAUAAGCGUCGGUAAGGUGAUAUGAACCGUUAUAACCGGCGAUUUCCGAAUGGGGAAACCCAGUGUGAUUCGUCACACUAUCAUUAACUGAAUCCAUAGGUUAAUGAGGCGAACCGGGGGAACUGAAACAUCUAAGUACCCCGAGGAAAAGAAAUCAACCGAGAUUCCCCCAGUAGCGGCGAGCGAACGGGGAGCAGCCCAGAGCCUGAAUCAGUGUGUGUGUUAGUGGAAGCGUCUGGAAAGGCGCGCGAUACAGGGUGACAGCCCCGUACACAAAAAUGCACAUGCUGUGAGCUCGAUGAGUAGGGCGGGACACGUGGUAUCCUGUCUGAAUAUGGGGGGACCAUCCUCCAAGGCUAAAUACUCCUGACUGACCGAUAGUGAACCAGUACCGUGAGGGAAAGGCGAAAAGAACCCCGGCGAGGGGAGUGAAAAAGAACCUGAAACCGUGUACGUACAAGCAGUGGGAGCACGCUUAGGCGUGUGACUGCGUACCUUUUGUAUAAUGGGUCAGCGACUUAUAUUCUGUAGCAAGGUUAACCGAAUAGGGGAGCCGAAGGGAAACCGAGUCUUAACUGGGCGUUAAGUUGCAGGGUAUAGACCCGAAACCCGGUGAUCUAGCCAUGGGCAGGUUGAAGGUUGGGUAACACUAACUGGAGGACCGAACCGACUAAUGUUGAAAAAUUAGCGGAUGACUUGUGGCUGGGGGUGAAAGGCCAAUCAAACCGGGAGAUAGCUGGUUCUCCCCGAAAGCUAUUUAGGUAGCGCCUCGUGAAUUCAUCUCCGGGGGUAGAGCACUGUUUCGGCAAGGGGGUCAUCCCGACUUACCAACCCGAUGCAAACUGCGAAUACCGGAGAAUGUUAUCACGGGAGACACACGGCGGGUGCUAACGUCCGUCGUGAAGAGGGAAACAACCCAGACCGCCAGCUAAGGUCCCAAAGUCAUGGUUAAGUGGGAAACGAUGUGGGAAGGCCCAGACAGCCAGGAUGUUGGCUUAGAAGCAGCCAUCAUUUAAAGAAAGCGUAAUAGCUCACUGGUCGAGUCGGCCUGCGCGGAAGAUGUAACGGGGCUAAACCAUGCACCGAAGCUGCGGCAGCGACGCUUAUGCGUUGUUGGGUAGGGGAGCGUUCUGUAAGCCUGUGAAGGUGUACUGUGAGGUAUGCUGGAGGUAUCAGAAGUGCGAAUGCUGACAUAAGUAACGAUAAAGCGGGUGAAAAGCCCGCUCGCCGGAAGACCAAGGGUUCCUGUCCAACGUUAAUCGGGGCAGGGUGAGUCGACCCCUAAGGCGAGGCCGAAAGGCGUAGUCGAUGGGAAACAGGUUAAUAUUCCUGUACUUGGUGUUACUGCGAAGGGGGGACGGAGAAGGCUAUGUUGGCCGGGCGACGGUUGUCCCGGUUUAAGCGUGUAGGCUGGUUUUCCAGGCAAAUCCGGAAAAUCAAGGCUGAGGCGUGAUGACGAGGCACUACGGUGCUGAAGCAACAAAUGCCCUGCUUCCAGGAAAAGCCUCUAAGCAUCAGGUAACAUCAAAUCGUACCCCAAACCGACACAGGUGGUCAGGUAGAGAAUACCAAGGCGCUUGAGAGAACUCGGGUGAAGGAACUAGGCAAAAUGGUGCCGUAACUUCGGGAGAAGGCACGCUGAUAUGUAGGUGAAGCGACUUGCUCGUGGAGCUGAAAUCAGUCGAAGAUACCAGCUGGCUGCAACUGUUUAUUAAAAACACAGCACUGUGCAAACACGAAAGUGGACGUAUACGGUGUGACGCCUGCCCGGUGCCGGAAGGUUAAUUGAUGGGGUCAGCGCAAGCGAAGCUCUUGAUCGAAGCCCCGGUAAACGGCGGCCGUAACUAUAACGGUCCUAAGGUAGCGAAAUUCCUUGUCGGGUAAGUUCCGACCUGCACGAAUGGCGUAAUGAUGGCCAGGCUGUCUCCACCCGAGACUCAGUGAAAUUGAACUCGCUGUGAAGAUGCAGUGUACCCGCGGCAAGACGGAAAGACCCCGUGAACCUUUACUAUAGCUUGGCACUGAACAUUGAGCCUUGAUGUGUAGGAUAGGUGGGAGGCUUUGAAGUGUGGACGCCAGUCUGCAUGGAGCCGACCUUGAAAUACCACCCUUUAAUGUUUGAUGUUCUAACGUUGACCCGUAAUCCGGGUUGCGGACAGUGUCUGGUGGGUAGUUUGACUGGGGCGGUCUCCUCCUAAAGAGUAACGGAGGAGCACGAAGGUUGGCUAAUCCUGGUCGGACAUCAGGAGGUUAGUGCAAUGGCAUAAGCCAGCUUGACUGCGAGCGUGACGGCGCGAGCAGGUGCGAAAGCAGGUCAUAGUGAUCCGGUGGUUCUGAAUGGAAGGGCCAUCGCUCAACGGAUAAAAGGUACUCCGGGGAUAACAGGCUGAUACCGCCCAAGAGUUCAUAUCGACGGCGGUGUUUGGCACCUCGAUGUCGGCUCAUCACAUCCUGGGGCUGAAGUAGGUCCCAAGGGUAUGGCUGUUCGCCAUUUAAAGUGGUACGCGAGCUGGGUUUAGAACGUCGUGAGACAGUUCGGUCCCUAUCUGCCGUGGGCGCUGGAGAACUGAGGGGGGCUGCUCCUAGUACGAGAGGACCGGAGUGGACGCAUCACUGGUGUUCGGGUUGUCAUGCCAAUGGCACUGCCCGGUAGCUAAAUGCGGAAGAGAUAAGUGCUGAAAGCAUCUAAGCACGAAACUUGCCCCGAGAUGAGUUCUCCCUGACCCUUUAAGGGUCCUGAAGGAACGUUGAAGACGACGACGUUGAUAGGCCGGGUGUGUAAGCGCAGCGAUGCGUUGAGCUAACCGGUACUAAUGAACCGUGAGGCUUAACCUU